This is a non-coding RNA of Pelobates cultripes (western spadefoot toad), 460 nucleotides long. NCBI's taxonomy places the organism in Eukaryota, Metazoa, Chordata, Amphibia, Anura, Pelobatidae. The record is from the annotation of a GenBank genome assembly.
CUACCACCAUGAAACUCCCCCCCCAAAAAUUGCAGGUCUUUGUUUCAUGUACUUCCUGUGGUUAUUGUGAGAACAUUUUCUAAAGACUGCUAGCAGCCUUCUUUGUUUCAGCAUUCAGUAUUAAACAGUUUAUCAUUAUAAAUAGUAAAUUGACAUACAUCACUAAUGAUGCCAUUCUAGUUCUUCAUAUGGUCUAGUUCGCAUACAGUGUGAUUAUUUGUACAUCCUGGGGGAUCCACUGUACACCAUGGGACCUCCUGAUGUGGGUCCUCUACAUUCCCCAUCUUUACAGUUGCAGAAAAACAAAUACAGAAAUAACAGACUGGAAAUGAAAACAGGACUAGAGCGCACACACAGUGACAUCUAACUUUGAGCAAAUCAACAUGUACUUAUCUGUGUGUGCUUGUUGAUAGUGCCAUGCUGUGAUAGUUACAUCCUGCAAGAGAUUGUCAUUGUGUCU